This is a non-coding RNA of Poecilia reticulata (guppy), 310 nucleotides long. The record is from RefSeq and is a predicted model, not a curated record. Lineage: Eukaryota; Metazoa; Chordata; Actinopteri; Cyprinodontiformes; Poeciliidae.
UAAGUUAAAACAGCGAUUGAUGUAUUUGAGUGCAUUACCAUCUCCACCCAACUGGCACACGCCUCACAGAAAAUCAAGCGCACCCAUCUCUCUCAUUCAGGCCUUCAGGAGCUUAUAAAGUAACCGGGCACACCUGUGUUCAGUAUGUACCCUUCAAACAAAGAACUCAGCUUCAAGCUCCUGCAGAGACACCACUGGUUUUCAACCUGCUUGGUGACUCUGUCUACUGUGACCACUUAAUAUAAAAUCAUGGUGGUCCUGUAUGUGAUCUAAAGACAAAAGAGAAGAGAAAUAAAAAACAUGUCACUGA